UCCUGGCUCAGAUUGAACGCUGGCGGCAGGCCUAACACAUGCAAGUCGAGCGGUAGAGAGAAGCUUGCUUCUCUUGAGAGCGGCGGACGGGUGAGUAAUGCCUAGGAAUCUGCCUGGUAGUGGGGGAUAACGUUCGGAAACGGACGCUAAUACCGCAUACGUCCUACGGGAGAAAGCAGGGGACCUUCGGGCCUUGCGCUAUCAGAUGAGCCUAGGUCGGAUUAGCUAGUUGGUGAGGUAAUGGCUCACCAAGGCGACGAUCCGUAACUGGUCUGAGAGGAUGAUCAGUCACACUGGAACUGAGACACGGUCCAGACUCCUACGGGAGGCAGCAGUGGGGAAUAUUGGACAAUGGGCGAAAGCCUGAUCCAGCCAUGCCGCGUGUGUGAAGAAGGUCUUCGGAUUGUAAAGCACUUUAAGUUGGGAGGAAGGGUUGUAGAUUAAUACUCUGCAAUUUUGACGUUACCGACAGAAUAAGCACCGGCUAACUCUGUGCCAGCAGCCGCGGUAAUACAGAGGGUGCAAGCGUUAAUCGGAAUUACUGGGCGUAAAGCGCGCGUAGGUGGUUUGUUAAGUUGGAUGUGAAAUCCCCGGGCUCAACCUGGGAACUGCAUUCAAAACUGACUGACUAGAGUAUGGUAGAGGGUGGUGGAAUUUCCUGUGUAGCGGUGAAAUGCGUAGAUAUAGGAAGGAACACCAGUGGCGAAGGCGACCACCUGGACUAAUACUGACACUGAGGUGCGAAAGCGUGGGGAGCAAACAGGAUUAGAUACCCUGGUAGUCCACGCCGUAAACGAUGUCAACUAGCCGUUGGAAGCCUUGAGCUUUUAGUGGCGCAGCUAACGCAUUAAGUUGACCGCCUGGGGAGUACGGCCGCAAGGUUAAAACUCAAAUGAAUUGACGGGGGCCCGCACAAGCGGUGGAGCAUGUGGUUUAAUUCGAA
RNAcentral lists this ribosomal RNA (943 nucleotides) under Pseudomonas azotoformans. Its description in RNAcentral is "bacterial SSU rRNA". It matches the Rfam family "Bacterial small subunit ribosomal RNA", at positions 17 to 955 of the family's 1533-position model. Lineage: Bacteria; Pseudomonadati; Pseudomonadota; Gammaproteobacteria; Pseudomonadales; Pseudomonadaceae. The record is from RNAcentral.